This 463-nucleotide ribosomal RNA is filed under the name uncultured bacterium. RNAcentral describes it as "partial 16S ribosomal RNA". It matches the Rfam family "Bacterial small subunit ribosomal RNA", at positions 28 to 506 of the family's 1533-position model. The record is from RNAcentral.
GACGAACGCUGGCGGCGUGCUUAACACAUGCAAGUCGAACAGAAAGGCCCUGCUUGCAGGGUACUCGAGUGGCGAACGGGUGAGUAACACGUGGGUGAUCUGCCCUGCACUUCGGGAUAAGCCUGGGAAACUGGGUCUAAUACCGGAUAGGAGCCAUUUUAGUGUGAUGGUUGGAAAGUUUUUUCGGUGUAGGAUGAGCUCGCGGCCUAUCAGCUUGUUGGUGGGGUAAUGGCCUACCAAGGCGGCGACGGGUAGCCGGCCUGAGGGGGUGGACGGCCACAUUGGGCCUGGGGUCCGGCCCAGACCCCUACGGGGGGCAGCAGUGGGGAAUUUUGCACAAUGGGCGGAACCCUGUUGCCGCGACCCCGGGGGGGGGAUGACGGCCUUCGGGUUGUAAACCCCUUUCGCGGGGGACGAAGCUUUUUGUGCCGGUACCUAGAUAAGAAGCCCCGGCUACCUACGU